Long non-coding RNA from Cyprinodon tularosa, 427 nucleotides. RefSeq lists it as uncharacterized. Lineage: Eukaryota; Metazoa; Chordata; Actinopteri; Cyprinodontiformes; Cyprinodontidae. The transcript has 3 exons. The record is from RefSeq and is a predicted model, not a curated record.
UAACUAACCAAGGGGCAUUAUUUGUCUUCAAAAUGAAUGUCCAGUGGCUGAUCUCUGGGGUAAAAAGAGGCGUUUCUGUACUGUAACAACGGGAUGACGUCCAACUAAAGUUGUGGCAGGGAACCACUGAUAUGUUUGUGACUGACAACUGCAGGAAAUGAAGACUGAUCUACAGUCAUCUGGCAAGGCUUGAGAUGGUUUCAUCGUCCCGAAGAUUGGCCAGUUUCAGCAUUCAUGAUUUUUCUUUUUUUCAAUGAGCUGUAAAUCUGCAAUUAGUUUUAUUGUUGAGGUUUAAUUUUUAACUUUAGAAAGUUAAAUGUGUCAUUGAUUGCAGAAUAAAUCAUUCAAGUGUCCAACUUGUGCUCAUCUAUACUUUUGUUUCAGAAAUUAUACAAAAUUAACCAUUUCAAAACCUGUAUUUUUGCUA